This 305-nucleotide ribosomal RNA is filed under the name uncultured bacterium. RNAcentral describes it as "bacterial SSU rRNA". It matches the Rfam family "Bacterial small subunit ribosomal RNA", at positions 337 to 659 of the family's 1533-position model. The record is from RNAcentral.
UCCUACGGGGGGCAGCAGUGGGGAAUAUUGCACAAUGGGGGAAACCCUGAUGCAGUGACGCCGCGUGAGUGAAGAAGUAUUUCGGUAUGUAAAGCUCUAUCAGCAGGGAAGAAAAUGACGGUACCUGACUAAGAAGCCCCGGCUAACUACGUGCCAGCAGCCGCGGUAAUACGUAGGGGGCAAGCGUUAUCCGGACUUACUGGGUGUAAAGGGAGCGUAGACGGCUGCGCAAGUCAGAAGUGAAAGCCCGGGGCUCAACCGCGGGACUGCUUUUGAAACUGUGUAGCUAGAGUGCAGGAGAGGUA